This 509-nucleotide ribosomal RNA is filed under the name Pantoea agglomerans. Its description in RNAcentral is "bacterial SSU rRNA". It matches the Rfam family "Bacterial small subunit ribosomal RNA", at positions 960 to 1470 of the family's 1533-position model. The record is from RNAcentral. Lineage: Bacteria; Pseudomonadati; Pseudomonadota; Gammaproteobacteria; Enterobacterales; Erwiniaceae.
CGCGAAGAACCUUACCUACUCUUGACAUCCACGGAAUUUGGCAGAGAUGCCUUAGUGCCUUCGGGAACCGUGAGACAGGUGCUGCAUGGCUGUCGUCAGCUCGUGUUGUGAAAUGUUGGGUUAAGUCCCGCAACGAGCGCAACCCUUAUCCUUUGUUGCCAGCGAUUCGGUCGGGAACUCAAAGGAGACUGCCGGUGAUAAACCGGAGGAAGGUGGGGAUGACGUCAAGUCAUCAUGGCCCUUACGAGUAGGGCUACACACGUGCUACAAUGGCGCAUACAAAGAGAAGCGACCUCGCGAGAGCAAGCGGACCUCACAAAGUGCGUCGUAGUCCGGAUCGGAGUCUGCAACUCGACUCCGUGAAGUCGGAAUCGCUAGUAAUCGUGGAUCAGAAUGCCACGGUGAAUACGUUCCCGGGCCUUGUACACACCGCCCGUCACACCAUGGGAGUGGGUUGCAAAAGAAGUAGGUAGCUUAACCUUCGGGAGGCGCUUACCACUUUGUGAUUC